RNAcentral lists this ribosomal RNA (246 nucleotides) under Triticum aestivum (bread wheat). Its description in RNAcentral is "partial small subunit ribosomal RNA". The record is from RNAcentral. Lineage: Eukaryota; Viridiplantae; Streptophyta; Magnoliopsida; Poales; Poaceae.
GUGAAAAAGUGUGGUCUAAUUGACUUAGGAUAUAGUGGCCCUGCUUAUACUUGGACAAACAAGAGGUAUGCUUCAAAUCCGACCAUGGAAAGACUUGAUAGAUGUCUGGUUAACACUGAAUGGUGUACGAUAUUUCCCAACUCUAAUGUUUACAAUCUGCCUAUCAUCCUUAGUGAUCAUGCUCCUAUCCUACUCUCUACUAAUGCCCAUAUGCGCAAACCUAGAAGAAAUUUUAAAUUUGAAAAU